This is a long non-coding RNA of Morus notabilis, 657 nucleotides long. RefSeq lists it as uncharacterized. The transcript has 3 exons. The record is from RefSeq and is a predicted model, not a curated record. NCBI's taxonomy places the organism in Eukaryota, Viridiplantae, Streptophyta, Magnoliopsida, Rosales, Moraceae.
AUCCACUAGUAUUUAUUAUAUAAUAAUUUCCAAAGGAAUUUUGCUCGCUUUGUGUUUGACAAAAUGCUCGAUACAGUUCUGGGCCUCUUCUGAAUUUCUUUUGUUCGUAAAUUUCGUGGGAUCCAAAGUGAAUUGUCUGAUUAAAGUGAGAAUCUUUUUGGGUCUCUUUUGUUUUUGCAAAUGGGUGAUGAAAAGCUUCAAGCUCAAUUCCCUGAGAUUGUCAAGGAUUUAUAAUGGACAAUCUCUGCGAAAAUCUCGGGGCCACUCAGAUAGAGCGGGGAGAUCUUUACAACAAGGUCGAAGUUCUGUUCACAGAAGAAGAUCAGGAUUACAUUGGGAAGAUAAAUGAGUUGCAUGCUUACCUUGACACGGUAAAGAAGAUGGUGAAACCAGGUUGCUCAGAAGAAUUGUUGAAGGUGGCGUUGAGGUACAUGUCAUCACUAGUCAACACCCUCUCCUUUAUGUCUUUAACAGAAAAACUUCGUGCCUCGCUUUAAAGAAUUAUAGACCCUUUGUUAACAUAUGAUCAUGUACGAGGAGUAAUCACUAAUUGUAUGAUGAAUAAGUGUAUCUUAUACUUUGCCUUUUAAGUUUUUACCAGUUAAGUAGAUAGUGAACGAGGUGAAUAUAUGCUAUUGAUACAUAUCAUUCUGUGUC